CCGAGUUUACAACUCCCAAACCCAAUGUGAACGUUACCAAACUGUUGCCUCGGCGGGAUCUCUGCCCCGGGUGCGUCGCAGCCCCGGACCAAGGCGCCCGCCGGAGGACCAACCAAAACUCUUAUUGUAUACCCCCUCGCGGGUUUUUUUUUAUAAUCUGAGCCUUCUCGGCGCCUCUCGUAGGCGUUUCGAAAAUGAAUCAAAACUUUCAACAACGGAUCUCUUGGUUCUGGCAUCGAUGAAGAACGCAGCGAAAUGCGAUAAGUAAUGUGAAUUGCAGAAUUCAGUGAAUCAUCGAAUCUUUGAACGCACAUUGGGCCCGCCAGUAUUCUGGCGGGCAUGCCUGUCCGAGCGUCAUUUCAACCCUCGAACCCCUCCGGGGGGUCGGCGUUGGGGAUCGGCCCUCCCUUAGCGGGGUGGCCGUCUCCGAAAUACAGUGGCGGUCUCGCCGCAGCCUCUCCUGCGCAGUAGUUUGCACACUCGCAUCGGGAGCGCGGCGCGUCCACAGCCGUUAAACACCCAACUUCUGAAAUGUUGACCUCGGAUCAGGUAGGAAUACCCGCUGAACUUAAGCAUAUCAA
RNAcentral lists this ribosomal RNA (581 nucleotides) under Trichoderma harzianum. RNAcentral's name for it is "eukaryotic LSU rRNA". The stretch from base 204 to 357 matches the Rfam family "5.8S ribosomal RNA". The record is from RNAcentral. Lineage: Eukaryota; Fungi; Ascomycota; Sordariomycetes; Hypocreales; Hypocreaceae.